This 1543-nucleotide ribosomal RNA is filed under the name Escherichia coli. RNAcentral's name for it is "bacterial SSU rRNA". It matches the Rfam family "Bacterial small subunit ribosomal RNA". Lineage: Bacteria; Pseudomonadati; Pseudomonadota; Gammaproteobacteria; Enterobacterales; Enterobacteriaceae. The record is from RNAcentral.
AAAUUGAAGAGUUUGAUCAUGGCUCAGAUUGAACGCUGGCGGCAGGCCUAACACAUGCAAGUCGAACGGUAACAGGAAACAGCUUGCUGUUUCGCUGACGAGUGGCGGACGGGUGAGUAAUGUCUGGGAAACUGCCUGAUGGAGGGGGAUAACUACUGGAAACGGUAGCUAAUACCGCAUAACGUCGCAAGACCAAAGAGGGGGACCUUCGGGCCUCUUGCCAUCGGAUGUGCCCAGAUGGGAUUAGCUUGUUGGUGGGGUAACGGCUCACCAAGGCGACGAUCCCUAGCUGGUCUGAGAGGAUGACCAGCCACACUGGAACUGAGACACGGUCCAGACUCCUACGGGAGGCAGCAGUGGGGAAUAUUGCACAAUGGGCGCAAGCCUGAUGCAGCCAUGCCGCGUGUAUGAAGAAGGCCUUCGGGUUGUAAAGUACUUUCAGCGGGGAGGAAGGGAGUAAAGUUAAUACCUUUGCUCAUUGACGUUACCCGCAGAAGAAGCACCGGCUAACUCCGUGCCAGCAGCCGCGGUAAUACGGAGGGUGCAAGCGUUAAUCGGAAUUACUGGGCGUAAAGCGCACGCAGGCGGUUUGUUAAGUCAGAUGUGAAAUCCCCGGGCUCAACCUGGGAACUGCAUCUGAUACUGGCAAGCUUGAGUCUCGUAGAGGGGGGGUAGAAUUCCAGGUGUAGCGGUGAAAUGCGUAGAGAUCUGGAGGAAUACCGGUGGCGAAGGCGGCCCCCUGGACGAAGACUGACGCUCAGGUGCGAAAGCGUGGGGAGCAAACAGGAUUAGAUACCCUGGUAGUCCACGCCGUAAACGAUGUCGACUUGGAGGUUGUGCCCUUGAGGCGUGGCUUCCGGAGCUAACGCGUUAAGUCGACCGCCUGGGGAGUACGGCCGCAAGGUUAAAACUCAAAUGAAUUGACGGGGGCCCGCACAAGCGGUGGAGCAUGUGGUUUAAUUCGAUGCAACGCGAAGAACCUUACCUGGUCUUGACAUCCACAGAACUUUCCAGAGAUGGAUUGGUGCCUUCGGGAACUGUGAGACAGGUGCUGCAUGGCUGUCGUCAGCUCGUGUUGUGAAAUGUUGGGUUAAGUCCCGCAACGAGCGCAACCCUUAUCCUUUGUUGCCAGCGGUCCGGCCGGGAACUCAAAGGAGACUGCCAGUGAUAAACUGGAGGAAGGUGGGGAUGACGUCAAGUCAUCAUGGCCCUUACGACCAGGGCUACACACGUGCUACAAUGGCGCAUACAAAGAGAAGCGACCUCGCGAGAGCAAGCGGACCUCAUAAAGUGCGUCGUAGUCCGGAUUGGAGUCUGCAACUCGACUCCAUGAAGUCGGAAUCGCUAGUAAUCGUGGAUCAGAAUGCCACGGUGAAUACGUUCCCGGGCCUUGUACACACCGCCCGUCACACCAUGGGAGUGGGUUGCAAAAGAAGUAGGUAGCUUAACCUUCGGGAGGGCGCUUACCACUUUGUGAUUCAUGACUGGGGUGAAGUCGUAACAAGGUAACCGUAGGGGAACCUGCGGUUGGAUCACCUCCUUA